Potamilus streckersoni is the source of this 73-nucleotide non-coding RNA. NCBI's taxonomy places the organism in Eukaryota, Metazoa, Mollusca, Bivalvia, Unionida, Unionidae. The record is from the annotation of a GenBank genome assembly.
GCUUCUGUGGCUUAGUGGUUAGAGCAUCCACCUUGGAUGUGGGAGGUCAUGGGUUUGAACCCUGGCUGAGUCA